RNAcentral lists this ribosomal RNA (207 nucleotides) under uncultured delta proteobacterium. RNAcentral describes it as "partial 16S ribosomal RNA". It matches the Rfam family "Bacterial small subunit ribosomal RNA", at positions 568 to 774 of the family's 1533-position model. The record is from RNAcentral. Lineage: Bacteria; Deltaproteobacteria.
CGUGCAGGCGGCUCGCUAAGUCUGAUGUGAAAGCCCCGGGCUCAACCCGGGAAGUGCAUUGGAAACUGGCGAACUUGAGUACGGGAGAGGGAAGUGGAAUUCCGAGUGUAGGGGUGAAAUCCGUAGAUAUUCGGAGGAACACCGGUGGCGAAGGCGGCUUCCUGGACCGAUACUGACGCUGAGACGCGAAAGCGUGGGGAGCAAACA